Molecule: long non-coding RNA, 521 nt
Organism: Caretta caretta (loggerhead turtle)
Lineage: Eukaryota; Metazoa; Chordata; Testudines; Cheloniidae
Source: RefSeq, a predicted model, not a curated record
ACACGCAGAGCCUGCUGGGAAAAUUGUGCUGGGUUCUGGGAGAGAGAAGCGUGCGGCGAGUCACGCAGGCUGAGCCAGUCACGUGGGCUCCUGGGGAGCCCAACGGUCAUAACGGCCCAAACACCCGAAAGAGCUCUGUUUGCAGUGUCACCACAGAAUAUACUGCCUGAACGCAUUCUCUUGUCAUAAAUACAAGAAGUCUCAAACCCAGGACUCUUUUCUCCUGUCAUCUACAUGAGGGAAGGUUUAAGCCAUAAAACUGAGGUUUCCGAGUUUACCUGGGAAUUCUUAUGGAAGAGCUUCAGCAGAUGCUACACCUGGAUUGCCUGUCUACUGGAUUAUAAUCUUUUAAACUGAUUCCAGAAAGACUUUUACAAAUAAGCAGCCUUACCUUCUCUGCUAUGAAACUGACCUAAGGACUUUACACAUAUUUUUUCUCCAGAGAGACAGCACCACUUUCUGAUGAUUCAAGCACCUGCUUGGCUGCUGGAGUGAGCCACCAACAUCACAGUGUGUGAUCU